AACGCAUAUUGCGCUCUCUGGUAUUCCGGAGAGCAUGCCUGUUUGAGGGUAAUUAAAUAAAUCUUUGACUAUUUUUUUAGUCAAGGGAUAUUGGGUUCUCCGCACUUUGUAGCGGUAGCCUGAAAUAUAUGGUUAGUCUCAUUUUGUUGAGAUGCGUAAUAAUAUUUAUUUCGCGAAAAAUCAUCAAUGAGAUUCUACCAAGUUUUGACGCAUACAGUCUAAGCUGUCUAAGUUACCACCCUAACCCAAUGCGUUAAUACAAUAUUUUUGAACAUUACCUCAAAUCAGGUAGGAAUACCCGCUGAACUUAA
This 311-nucleotide unclassified non-coding RNA is filed under the name uncultured Archaeosporales. Its description in RNAcentral is "sequence contains ITS2". The stretch from base 1 to 52 matches the Rfam family "5.8S ribosomal RNA", at positions 103 to 154 of the family's 154-position model. Lineage: Eukaryota; Fungi; Glomeromycota; Glomeromycetes; Archaeosporales. The record is from RNAcentral.